GGGCUAAUAGAAGUCCAUUGGAACUUCAGUUAUUUUACUACUUUGCUUCUUAUUCAUGUUCUUCGGCUCGCUUGCAUUCUUCAGUGAUUAGAGAGGGAGAGCGAGAAUGUGAACAGGUGUGGAAGCAAGGAGUGAAUUCCUUGGUGGAAGUGAGCUGUGAGUGGGAGUGGCUGAAGUGACAAGAGUCGCAAAAGAGGAUUAAUUGACCGAGAGAGCAGUUGGGGGAGUGGUAAAGAGAGUUACGUAAGUUGGAAGAAUAAUGGAAAGCCGAAGAACUUGAAUUUAGAAUCGGAGUACACAAUAAUUAAGUUCCGUUUUAUAUACUUACAUUAUAGGCGGAUUAAUUUCGCGCAUUACACCAAAAGUGAUAGGGUCGACUUGGGGAAAGGCUUUUUUCGCCACGCGGUGUUUGACCCAGAAAGGGGAUAAAAAGGGAGUGUUUAGUUGACAAGGGGCAGUUUUUCGUUCCCGAUUUGUUUUGCCGCCGUAGGCCAUGUCGGCUUAAUUUUUGUCUGUCGUCGGUCGUCCAGCCCAGAGAUGCGACAUAUAUUAUUAUCCAGCAUGUAAUCUGACUUUGAUUUAGAAUAAAACCUGAUACACAACUUAACUUCAUCGAACUUGUCAUUCUUUGACUCCCGUCUUUUUUUUGUACGUGGGCAGCGCAAGACGGUGGGCGGCCACCGGCCGUCUUGCAAAGCUGUGCCGCUACAAAAUUGGUAGUACGGAUGGGGUCGACCGUCAUCUUCAGCAUGUUCGGGGAACGUUUUAGUCCUUCAGUCUGGUUUUACGCAUAAACACAAUGUUUAUCGGACAUUGAGAUAAAUUUAACAAGGAUAGCUUCACUUCAUGUCACCGGUUCCGGCUUAUUUUUUGUUCGAGGAUGUGAAUUAUAUUAUUUUAACUUUAACGUUGGAGAGAGAAAUACAGCUGCAGGGGUUGGAUUGAGCCCCCACAUCGCCCGGGUUUUCGACGUUGGGACCUUACAUGUGCCGUUGAGCUCAGGAGAAAGAACCCUUCGUCCUGGGACUCACGCGUGGCUGCAUUGUAGCGAGGAGUCGAGGGACCUGUGAAAACCACUGCAAAUAGACCUGACGGGGUAGCAUAGCUGGUUUCCACUAAAACCCUCCGGAUUAGUUGGUACCGACGAAGUCUGGUGAUUUCACAUUACACUGCGGUGAGAGGAGUCGUUUAACUGCGCGAGAAUCGUCUUGGAAGGGGCUGUAAAGGAACUCAGCAGGGCGAUUGCUUUUCCUUUGGUCGUCUCAUGAGGAUGGAUUGAGGUUAGGUACUGAAGGCCGCAGGCGCUAGUCCGGCUCGGGGAGUUGGACGCUAUCGAGGAGCUCCGAGACAUCGUUCUUCCAACCAACGCUUCGACACGGCCCUUCAUCUUCGUUAUCGACGUGGUGUGGUAGACCCUGUCUUCGAUAUCUUCGACGGUGGAAGCUGGCACUGUCGUUUGGAAGCCGAUAGCCUUGGCGAGUGAAGCAGCAGGAGUCGCUGGAAAACUACAUAUCAGACGGCAGGAUGGUGUCAAACGGAACUGGAGGAGGCAUGGGAUAUCCACCUCUGAUGGUAGUGUUGACAUCAUCCCAAAGUCUUGGUAAAAAAAAAAAAAAAAAAGGUAAUCUUUGGGUUAUUUUUUUUGUCCAUGUAAAAGGACUUCUAAAAUCUGAAUGAAUGAAAGGGAUUUUUUAAAACAAUUGUUUAUCUUUUUAAUGUGGAGGUUUACCCUAGAGGUGCACUAUGUCAUCUGUUUGGAAGCAAAGGAUGAAUUGUACAUAAAAAAAAAAAAAAAAAACUGUAAAGUAAUGAUUCUGAAAGUAUAACACAUAAAAUAAUAGUAACUUUCAGAAUAAGCGUCAUUAUUUGUAAGCAUAGCAGAGCGAGGUCUAACAUGUGCAUGCAUGCUGUCCAAUAUCAAAAUAUUUAUUGUUUACUGUUUAUGAUGCAUGUUCAUGGUUGAUAUAUAAUGCCUGAAGUUGAUUGUUCAUGGUUUACAAUUACAACCCAUCCAUUGAUUAAUGUUCAAUUGAUUAAUAAACACUUUUACUAGGGCAUUAUACAAGUAUGCUGAUGCAAAAUAUUUUUAGUAUCAUUUUGGACAUGAAACAUGCACUUGUUAACUAAGGUUAUUUAUAGUUUUUUUUUAUAAGAUGACCAGAUUUACUGCUGUUGGUUUUUCAUUUUGUAAGGUGGAUACAGAUACGGAUAUGGAUAAUUUUACUUUUCACAUGUAUCAUUGCUAUUAUUACUACUGUACAUGUAUGUUUAUGUACCUGUAGUAUUUUUGACAUAACUAGUUGUGCAUAAGAGGUAUUAUGAAUGUUUAAUUGAUGUUUAGAGGUUGAAUUUGUAACUAAACCUUUCAAUUCAUUUUUUUUCAGGGGUCUGGAGUGUUCAUCUUUGAAGGGGUGAUGUCAUCGAUGAAGCAGCAGGAAGCUUGGGUCAUCCACUUCCCAAUGCCCAUACAUUGACAUUCCCCUGAUGGAAGCUCUCCAAAUCCUAUUUUUAAUUGAAGAAGGUACAGGUACAAUGUAUAUACAUGCAAUUUAUUUGCCAAAAAGGGAAGAUUUUGAAAGAACAAUAUUUGGCAUAAAUAUAGAACGAUGUUGAAA
RNAcentral lists this long non-coding RNA (2615 nucleotides) under Lytechinus variegatus (green sea urchin). Its description in RNAcentral is "uncharacterized LOC121417357". The record is from RNAcentral. Lineage: Eukaryota; Metazoa; Echinodermata; Echinoidea; Temnopleuroida; Toxopneustidae.